RNAcentral lists this ribosomal RNA (465 nucleotides) under uncultured bacterium. Its description in RNAcentral is "bacterial SSU rRNA". It matches the Rfam family "Bacterial small subunit ribosomal RNA", at positions 338 to 795 of the family's 1533-position model. The record is from RNAcentral.
CCUACGGGAGGCAGCAGUAGGGAAUCUUCCGCAAUGGACGAAAGUCUGACGGAGCAACGCCGCGUGAGCGAAGAAGGUCUUCGGAUCGUAAAGCUCUGUUGUCGGGGAAGAACAAGUACGGGAGGAAAUGACCGUACCUUGACGGUACCUAACGAGGAAGCCACGGCUAACUACGUGCCAGCAGCCGCGGUAAUACGUAGGUGGCAAGCGUUGUCCGGAAUUAUUGGGCGGAAAGCGCGCGCAGGCGGUCUUUUAAGUCUGAUGUGAAAUCUUGCGGCUCAACCGCAAGCGGACAUUGGAAGAUGGGAGGCGUGAGGUGAGAAGUGGAAAGCGGAAUGCAACGUGUAGCGGUGAAAGGCGUAGGGAUGUGGAGGAACACCAGUGGCGAAGGCGGCUUUCUGGUCUGGAACUGACGCUGAGGCGCUAAAGCGUGGGGAGCAAACAGGAUUAGAUACCCCGGUAGUC